Toxorhynchites rutilus septentrionalis is the source of this 791-nucleotide long non-coding RNA. RefSeq lists it as uncharacterized. NCBI's taxonomy places the organism in Eukaryota, Metazoa, Arthropoda, Insecta, Diptera, Culicidae. The transcript has 3 exons. The record is from RefSeq and is a predicted model, not a curated record.
AGGGAUUGAAAACAGAUAAAAAUGCGUGCGGGAUCGUGUCUGCAACAACAAAGGCCAUCUACACACUAGGCAACCUAAGUUGGAAAGCAACUUAACGAAUCUGUCAAAAAAGUUGAGAACAUGUGUAAUCAAAUGGGAGCAUACACACUAGGCAACUGGCAACUUUUGUCGGACCAACUUUUUCGAUUCAACUCAGCAUGUCGAGUCGCGCGCGAUUUGUGUCGGCAACCUUUUCGUUCAAUUGCUGUUGACGUUUUGAUUUCUGCGUUCAUUGAAUUUCAAUAUUUGUCAGUGGUGAUGCAAAACAGUGUUUACAAUAUUGGCGCAUCUGUUUCUAUGAACGAACGAGAUGAAAUGCCAUCAAUAUGCAAGUUCUCUUGAUAUACCGUCCGGGAAGAGUGCUGAAUUGGUCAAGGAUGCGUAUAAUAUUGGAGAUUGUGCAAGAAGCACAGAAUCCGCUGGAUGUAUUUUUUCCAAGUUAACAGCAAUUGUUGCUGUCUGUUAUCAGCGAGCCGAAAAAAGUAUGUUAGAUAGCCUAAGAUUGGAUAAUUCUGGUCAGAUUUCCCGGGAAACCGUUAUCAUCCCUGAUUCUCGAUUGUACCAUGUGCGAAGGUGCGGUCUGCGAGUAUGUGACCCCUGGGAGAAUUUUUCAUAUUUAGCGUUAGUGUAUACAUAAAUCAUUCUUUAGAAGAAUUGUUGAAAAUUUUUCUGUUUUCUUUAUAUAAUUCUUUUCGGCUGUAUUCUUAUUUCAAUGAUUUUUUUAUGUUUGUAAAUAUUGUUUGCUGGUUUGU